GAGGAAUAUUGGUCAAUGGAGGCAACUCUGAACCAGCCAUGCCGCGUGCAGGAAGAAUGUCCUAUGGAUUGUAAACUGCUUUUGUACGGGAAGAAAAAGAGCUACGUGUAGCUUAUUGACGGUACCGUAAGAAUAAGGAUCGGCUAACUCCGUGCCAGCAGCCGCGGUAAUACGGAGGAUCCGAGCGUUAUCCGGAAUCAUUGGGUUUAAAGGGUCCGUAGGCGGCCUUAUAAGUCAGUGGUGAAAGUUUUCGGCUUAACCGAAAAAUUGCCAUUGAUACUGUAGGGCUUGAAUAAUUGUGAAGUAACUAGAAUAUGUAGUGUAGCGGUGAAAUGCAUAGAUAUUACAUGGAAUACCAAUUGCGCAGGCAGGUUACUAACAAUUGAUUGACGCUGAUGGACGAAAGCGUGGGUAGCGAAC
RNAcentral lists this ribosomal RNA (420 nucleotides) under uncultured bacterium. RNAcentral's name for it is "bacterial SSU rRNA". It matches the Rfam family "Bacterial small subunit ribosomal RNA", at positions 356 to 773 of the family's 1533-position model. The record is from RNAcentral.